Molecule: ribosomal RNA, 1020 nt
Filed under: Augacephalus junodi
Lineage: Eukaryota; Metazoa; Arthropoda; Arachnida; Araneae; Theraphosidae
Description: SSU rRNA
Rfam family: Eukaryotic small subunit ribosomal RNA
Source: RNAcentral
GCCGGUUUCCCUCGAUGAUCUUCACCGGUUGUCCCGGGUGACCGGCACGUUUACUUUGAAAAAAUUAGAGUGCUCAAAGCAGGCGCGUAGCCUGGAUAAUGGUGCAUGGAAUAAUGGAAUAGGACUUCGUUUCUAUUUUGUUGGUUUUCGGAACACGAGGUAAUGAUUAAGAGGGACAGACGGGGGCAUUCGUAUUGCGACGCUAGAGGUGAAAUUCUUGGACCGUCGCAAGACGAACUACUGCGAAAGCAUUUGCCAAGAAUGUUUUCAUUAAUCAAGAACGAAAGUUAGAGGUUCGAAGGCGAUCAGAUACCGCCCUAGUUCUAACCAUAAACGAUGCCAACCAGCGAUCCGCCUGAGUUCCUCAAAUGACUCGGCGGGCAGCUUACGGGAAACCAAAGUGUUUGGGUUCCGGGGGAAGUAUGGUUGCAAAGCUGAAACUUAAAGGAAUUGACGGAAGGGCACUACCAGAUGUGGAGCCUGCGGUUUAAUUUGACUCAACACGGGGCAACUUACCCGGCCCGGACACUGGAAGGAUUGACAGAUUAAGAGCUCUUUCUUGAUUCAGUGGGUGGUGGUGCAUGGCCGUUCGUAGUUGGUGAAGCGAUUUGUCUGGUUAAUUCCGAUAACGAGCGAGACUCUAGCCUACUAAAUAGGCGUCCCGAUCUCUUUCGUCGGGCGUUCUUCUUAGAGGGACAAGUGGCGUUUAGCCGCACGAGACAGAGCAAUAACAGGUCUGUUAUGCCCUUAGAUGUCCGGGGCCGCACGCGCGCUACACUGAAGGAAUCAGCGUGUGCUUUCCCUGUCCGGUAGGACUGGGUAACCCGUUGAACCUCCUUCGUGAUAGGGAUAGGGGCUUGCAAUUAUUCCCCUUGAACGAGGAAUACCCAGUAAGCACGAGUCAUCAGCUCGUGUUGAUUACGUCCCUGCCCUUUGUACACACCGCCCGUCGCUACUACCGAUUGAAUGAUUUAGUGAGGUCUUCGGACUGGCGCUCGGAGCGGCAGCGAGGUCGCGCCG